GCUCAUUUCCCCAGUAUGGAAAUCAGUGCGAAAGAGCAACCCGGCUGAGGAGGAGAGGGCUAAGGUGUGAAAAGGUCCUGCAGGGGAAGGGAAGCACGCUCUUAAUCCUCAAGAGACGCUGCCUCCCGUGGAAAGAAAUGCAAAUGAAAAGACGACCCAGUAGUUUUGCCGAUUGCAGAGUCAAAAAUAGUGCUCCUCCGAAGCGGUUGGUGGGAAUGGGGGAGAGGAGUUUCCUAACCCGCGGUGGGAGGACAGACGGCGGUGGGAGGACGCACGGCGCGGCUCCCCCAGGGCCGUUAGCCACACACCCGCCCCCCGCAGCACCGGGCGCAUGCGCACUGCUAAGCGCAGCUUAGGCUGGGGGUCGGGCGGCCUCUCUGCCUUCAAUGGGAAGCCCCCCCGCCGCGCCGUGGGCCGCUGUUCGUAGCUCCUGAUUCAAGAAUAGGGAACAAACUCCAAGGCCCGAGCUAACAACGGGGGCAGAACACAUUGGGGUGAGAGGAAGAGAAUAAAGAAUACAGAUAUAUAUUUUCCUUCCGCUGCUGGAAGAGCCCUGGAGGGACAGAACAGG
This 571-nucleotide long non-coding RNA is filed under the name Marmota monax (woodchuck). The record is from RNAcentral. Lineage: Eukaryota; Metazoa; Chordata; Mammalia; Rodentia; Sciuridae.